RNAcentral lists this ribosomal RNA (253 nucleotides) under uncultured bacterium. RNAcentral describes it as "partial 16S ribosomal RNA". It matches the Rfam family "Bacterial small subunit ribosomal RNA", at positions 524 to 776 of the family's 1533-position model. The record is from RNAcentral.
UACAGAGGUCUCAAGCGUUGUUCGGAUUCAUUGGGCGUAAAGGGUGCGUAGGCGGCGCGGUAAGUCGGGUGUGAAAUCUCGGGGCUUAACUCCGAAACUGCAUUCCAUACUGCGGUGCUUGAGGACUGGAGAGGAGACUGGAAUUUACGGUGUAGCAGUGAAAUGCGUAGAGAUCGUAAGGAAGACCAGUGGCGAAGGCGGGUCUCUGGACAGUUCCUGACACUGAGGCACGAAGGCCAGGGGAGCAAACGGG